GUAUUUAGAGCCUCAUGCUCUGGGAGGCGAGGGGAAGCGUUGCAGGUUACCAGGUUACACCUUUGUUAGAGAGAGACACUCAAACACGAGAUUUCCAGUUAAGCUGAUCUGAGACGAGGACAUAAUGACCAGAUGCUCCAGGUCCAUCUUUACUGCCAUGACUACAUGUGGUGACCUCAUACAGAGCUGAUAAAACACCAGAGGUUCAGUCUACAGGCAGGUGAUCCAGAACCAGAAUCCAGAUCAGACACAUUUCUGAGAGUUUGUCUCUCUGUGGGAAUGAAAGAAACAUAAAGCUCUUCUGAUCCCAGGUCUUGUCACAGGAUCAUUCUGUGGACUGAUAAAACCUCAAAAAGAUUGUGCUGUCACUUAACAAUUCAACUUUCUGCCAGGCCUUUGGGAAGAAGCUGGCGAAGAGCAAAAGGUUUCAGGAAGCCAUUUUCCUCUGUUGUUUACAGAGACAGUCAGCUGUGACGCAUCCUCUGUAAUCCUCCCCGCGAUUUGACAAAGCUUUCACACUUCAUGCACACAAAGACACACAAUUCUGUGAAAAAUCUUUUUAAACCGCAUCUCCAAUUGGCGUAGCAGAAAACGUUGGGAAAUAUGCAUUCAGUUGAUUUUUUUUUCUGUAUUUUAUCAACGCCGUAAAAAGAAAGCAGAUUUAAGUAUGUUUAUUGCAGCCAUAAAUAACUUGACAAAUUUUCUCUGCCAAAGCUGGACAGCUUUUGGUAGAGGCAGUGUCAUGAUAUGGGCCAUCAUCUCUCUUAAAGCUGCAGCGUGCAACUUGCUUUAAGAGUUGCAUAUAUUUUAUGCAAUAAAAACAUAAUAAAUAUGUUUUUAUUGCAAAAAAAAAUAUUGUAUGAAACAGAUCAUUUGCCUUCUUCCAGCGCCAUCAAGAAACAACCAAUCAGAGCCAGGAGGCUGUUCUUAUCGCUGUUAAUCACUACUCCAUCUGAUGAUGCUCAUUCUUUCUCUCCCUCCACUUUUUGCUCAGAUUUUAACUUAUUUCAAUUAUUUUUAUGGAAACUACUAAUUCCACCAGAUUUUUUCCCACUUAUAACUUGGGAAAUUGUCUUUGGAGUGAAAUAAUCUACUUAUGGAACUAGAACUUUUUCAUCAGAGUAAGAAAUUAUUUACUUUAAAUAAGCUCUUAUAUUGCGCUGAAAAGUUACUGGACCAAAAACACUUGGUGAGAUUUUGUAUUCCUGCAGUAAAGAACUGAAACACCUUGAUGGGAAUCUUUCAUCCCCUUCAAACCGAAGAGUUCAGAAGUGAGUUGGGGACCAAAGCCUGGGCCGGAUCAUCUGUCCUGUGUUCUGCUCUCUGACUCAUGAAGGGAGGACAGGCCCCUGCAUGCAGCUCUCCUCCCCCUGCAUGCAGCUCUCCUCCCCCUGCAGCUCCUUUUUUCCAGGCUCCCAGUAUGUGGGUGGCCACUGGGCCAACUGGCAGCAAGAGCUCCACAGACGUAAAAAAAAAAAAGCUGGGAAAAAAACUUACAGAAGGAAAAAAGCAGGAAAAGGGACAUUUUAAGGAAGUGACGUAAACAAGUAAUAAAAUAACAGAUGAAAAGUCAGGAGUUUGUGAAAAGUGUAUUUCUUUGCGUUUUACAUGGACUGUUAUUUAAGAAAAUAAGCGCAUUUGAUUACUUUUAAAGGUUCCCCUUUAAAAGAUAAGUUACUUUUACUUCAGGAAGAAAAGCAGGAUUCAGAGCAGGAAGCAAACAUUUUUGGCACGUUUUUCCUCCCCAACUCAGCCACUCAGAGCAGCACCGGCUCCGUUUUUAUCCGGAAACUCUCGUUCACAAGUUGCUUUACUCACACAGAUGGUCAUAGCUCCUGCCCCCAUUCCUCCA
Poeciliopsis prolifica (blackstripe livebearer) is the source of this 1852-nucleotide long non-coding RNA. RefSeq lists it as uncharacterized. The transcript is spliced from 3 exons. The record is from RefSeq and is a predicted model, not a curated record. Lineage: Eukaryota; Metazoa; Chordata; Actinopteri; Cyprinodontiformes; Poeciliidae.